Molecule: long non-coding RNA, 690 nt
Organism: Brassica napus (rape)
Lineage: Eukaryota; Viridiplantae; Streptophyta; Magnoliopsida; Brassicales; Brassicaceae
Exons: 5
Source: RefSeq, a predicted model, not a curated record
UCCCUAAAAUCUGAAAAGAUAUCGCAAAGCGGCAGCCUAGGUUAUAAUAACAAGAUCUCGAUGGACACGUACUCUCGCAAGCGAUCCGCCCCCAAGGAACCGUUCGAUAGUAGCCUGCUGCUAAGGAAAAAUUCAAUUACAUCAGUUCUAGGGUUAGGAUAUCUGUUGAAGGAUUCAGCCAUGGCCGUCCUACGGAUGAAAUCAAGAGUGAACUGAUUAAUCACUUCAAAUCAUGUGGCGACCUCAUUAGCGUUGAGGUUCCCACAGACCCUAUUUUAGAAAGUCGUGCUUUUGUUAAUUAUCAUGGACAUCUCGCAAAAGAGAGAGCGUUGCAACUUAAUGGAAGUGACAUUGGAAAUUGGAAGGCCCUUGUUAAGUUUGCACCCCGGGAAGAAGACCUGGAUUACUAGGUGUCAUUACGUUAUCAUAGAUCUCUGUAUUCUGACCUAGCCAAUGACGAAAGAUUUUGGUAUGGCAUUGCCGUUUUGGGUUAUGACACUUCCCUUCCUGAAGAUCAAGUCAAGAGCAUUUUGACAGAACAUUUCUCUUCUUGUGGAGUGAUAACACAUGUUUUCGUUUGUACUCCCGACGAGUGUACUAAUAUCUAUUUUUCCAAAAAAGAAGAUGAAGCUAGUGCUAUGGAUCUUAAUGGAAGUAAAGUGGGCGGAUUCAAAAUAACUACUAUGCUCU